GUUUUCCUCUGCCGAGGUCUCGAACUUGCGCAAGCACCAAAAGAGCAGGAGCAAGUCGAGGUAGGAGGUCGUGAUGAAGGCGACGGAGGAGAAGUCGUGCAUCGAGCGGUAGACGGCGGCGCCGGAGUUGUAGGCAAAAGUUGAUGGCCGUCGUCUCGAUCGGCGAGGCGAGCAAAUUCGAGGGCAUCCUUACCACUGUGCGAGUGAGCCUCGCAGUAACGAUAGAUGGAAUUAUCACAAAUUUGUGUGGCAUGUGCGAUAAUUGAUCCGCUGGAUCUGCGAUAUAAAGUUCGACACCUACCGCUCUGCCUCGACUUUGUCUAACGGCUAGCUUGACUAACGGCUAAUUUUAAAUGGAGACGCGUUUUUAUAUUCUAUUUUUUUUUCUAAACAAAUGCCAAGUCUAAUCAAUCGCGUGCCGCAGACGGCACGAAUCGCGCAUUGCAGACGGCACGGACUGCGGAACACGCGUUGUGGAGUUUGAAGCACAUGGCGAUGACCCAUUAUUGUUUAAAAGUACCGUCAGGAUCAUGCUACGAUGCCCUGGGAAAAGCUGGUCGGCUCUAAAUUGUCCGUAUCAUUUAUCUUCUUCACAUGGGGACGGACGGUAAGAGGAGCGGAUAACCGUAAUUAGCUUCAAAUCGAUUUUUCUCAUUUCGAGAUUACGAUGAUCUAUUGAUAUAUACUAUAAGUAUAUUUUUCAGUAGAAAAUAUUUUCUGAAGUCAUUAAUCAUCUUGAAAAAAAAAAAUCUAAGACCGACUCUUUCCCCUAAUUUAACAGUUUAAAACGCAUCAUGUAUCUUUUCGAUAGGACUCAACUUUCUUGAGCAUCUAAAACAAGAAGGGAAAUCUACCAAAAAAACAAAGAAGCAAGUAUCUCAGAUUAAACAGCCAUACCGUGGACAAAUUGCCAUAAAAUAAGCCAGCGAAAUGGGAAAUUAAGGUGGGAAACAUGAUAACCAGGCGAAGCAACCAACAGGCGGGUUGCGAUCAGCGAGGGCAUGUGAGUACUAUCGCCGACCGUCCGGCUGCCGCUUGCAUCGACCCCCAUGAUAAGAGGAUGAGAUUGAAAGAAAGAGGAGACAGCGGCGGAGGAAUCUUAAUUAACUACGUCCAGGAAUAUUAAGUUUAAAGACGGGAAGGGGAGGCAGACAUGACACAAACGACGAUGCUCCUUGGCUCCUUGCCGCCACCGACAUCCCUCAGAGCAACCUUUUGUUCUUCGAUCUUAUCCACCCCUCUUUUAUAGUGCUAGACCGGA
This is a long non-coding RNA of Zingiber officinale, 1261 nucleotides long. RefSeq lists it as uncharacterized. The transcript is spliced from 3 exons. Lineage: Eukaryota; Viridiplantae; Streptophyta; Magnoliopsida; Zingiberales; Zingiberaceae. The record is from RefSeq and is a predicted model, not a curated record.